GCCGGAGUGGUGAAAUUGGUAGACGCAGGGGACUCAAAAUCCCCCGGGGUAAAACCCGUGCCGGUUCGAUUCCGGCCUCCGGCACCA
RNAcentral lists this transfer RNA (87 nucleotides) under Ramlibacter tataouinensis. RNAcentral's name for it is "tRNA-Leu". It matches the Rfam family "tRNA". From Rfam's summary of the family: Transfer RNA (tRNA) molecules are approximately 80 nucleotides in length. Their secondary structure includes four short double-helical elements and three loops (D, anti-codon, and T loops). Further hydrogen bonds mediate the characteristic L-shaped molecular structure. tRNAs have two regions of fundamental functional importance: the anti-codon, which is responsible for specific mRNA codon recognition, and the 3' end, to which the tRNAs corresponding amino acid is attached (by aminoacyl-tRNA synthetases). tRNAs cope with the degeneracy of the genetic code in two manners: having more than one tRNA (with a specific anti-codon) for a particular amino acid; and 'wobble' base-pairing, i.e. permitting non-standard base-pairing at the 3rd anti-codon position. The record is from RNAcentral. RNAcentral also lists the same sequence under 8 other names. Lineage: Bacteria; Pseudomonadati; Pseudomonadota; Betaproteobacteria; Burkholderiales; Comamonadaceae.